AUGAACGCUGGCGGCGUGCUUAACACCUGCAAGUCGAACGAAGCAUUUGCGACAGAUUUUUUCGGAAUGAAGUUGCUUAUGACUGAGUGGCGGACGGGUGAGUAACGCGUGGGUAACCUGCCUUGUACUGGGGGAUAGCAGCUGGAAACGGCUGGUAAUACCGCAUAAGCGCACAAUGUUGCAUGACAUGGUGUGAAAAACUCCGGUGGUAUAAGAUGGACCCGCGUCUGAUUAGCUAGUUGGUGAGAUAACAGCCCACCAAGGCGACGAUCAGUAGCCGACCUGAGAGGGUGACCGGCCACAUUGGGACUGAGACACGGCCCAGACUCCUACGGGAGGCAGCAGUGGGGAAUAUUGCACAAUGGAGGAAACUCUGAUGCAGCGACGCCGCGUGAGUGAAGAAGUAAUUCGUUAUGUAAAGCUCUAUCAGCAGGGAAGAUAGUGACGGUACCUGACUAAGAAGCUCCGGCUAAAUACGUG
This 480-nucleotide ribosomal RNA is filed under the name uncultured bacterium. RNAcentral's name for it is "partial 16S ribosomal RNA". It matches the Rfam family "Bacterial small subunit ribosomal RNA", at positions 29 to 507 of the family's 1533-position model. The record is from RNAcentral.